Lagopus muta (rock ptarmigan) is the source of this 1984-nucleotide non-coding RNA. The record is from the annotation of a RefSeq genome assembly. Lineage: Eukaryota; Metazoa; Chordata; Aves; Galliformes; Phasianidae.
CCCGCUCCGCUGCCGUCCGCCUCCCGGGCAGACGGCGGCGGCGCGGCGGGGCGCGAUGGCGGCCGGGCUGGGGCCGUGGCUGCUGGCCUUGGCCUUGGGGCCGGCGGGAGUGUGUGCACAGUGGAGACUGGAAGCAUCUGGCGGAGGUGAGCGAGCACCUGGGGAGUCCGUGCAGCUCUCCUGCCAGGGAUCCGGCUUCAGCUUCAGAAGUUUUACUGUUCGGUGGUACCGUCAGAGACUUGCUGGCCGUCUUGAGUGGCUGUCGUUUAUUGAUGCCACCUCAUAUAUUAUAAGAUCCAGCCCAGAGUUGGACGGUCGAUCCUCAGUCUCUCGAGACAAUUCCCGCUCUGUGUCCUACCUGUCUCUCCAUGCCCUGCGCCCACACGACUCAGCGCACUACUUCUGUGCUGCUCACACGGGAACAGGAAAUCCUGCAGAGCUGUAACAAAAAUCCCCUUUCUUAGACACAGCCGUGGCUGCAGAACUGCAGUGCUGGCAGGAGCUGGAGCUGCUCAUGCAGAGCGAGGAGACAUCACUGCACACCACAGAUGACCCUGUCCUUUCUGCCAGGUCUCCCAUGACUUUUGAUUCACAAAAGCAGUGUUGUGACCUGAGGAUUAUAUUCACAAUAUUUCUGGUCACCCUGUCAGCUUGGCCACUUUACCUGCCUUCCUACCUGCAGCAUGUGUGCACCUGCUUUUAGUUUCCUUCCUUUCUUGUGUACUCAAAAGCACUUGGGCACUUCUAGCAACAGCAUUGCCUACUUCCAUCACCGGUGUGGAUGGCUUUUUCCAUGUUUCUCUGUGAGCAAAGCAGUGACUGAAUAGAUCUGAUUCUGGUUUCUGGGUGGUGGUUUCUGGGACAUUUCACAGUGACAGAAUGCAAGGAAUGCAGUCUGCAGCGUUGCAGCAAGCAGGGCAAUCUGAGACCCUUCAAAUUACAUAGGUUACUCUGAAAACAAUAUCUGCUAUGUGAUUCCAAAGAAGCUUCAACAGGUAACAAGAGCUCAGUAACACUAUUUGAUAGAGCAGAAUCACAGCUGCAGGAUAUUAUCUUUCAACAGUGUCAACACCAUUAGCUGUGCAUUUUCACUAGUGGUGAAGAAGAUCCUUUGUGACAUGCUGGUAAAUACCUGCACCAGUGCAGGUGAGCCACAGUUUCACAGCUGUUAUGCUGGCAUUGUUCCCAGGGAAAUGUAGCCCACAGACUACAUCUCUCAUCAGCUGAAGGGAUGGCAGCCCAAAGGUGCAACACACAAACUGUAUCAUGGUUGUGGAAGGACUGGUCAGCCAAAAUUGUCAUUGUGCACCAUGGUCUUCAUAUUGGUAUGGUGUCUGGCGUUAUCAUGUUGCAAUAGAAUGGUUGCCUUCUUCUCUAGCCAAAUUGUGAAGGUUUGAAUCUGCUGAAGGUUUGAGCCUGAGACUGAGUCUGAGCUGAUGGAUUGUCCAGAUUCUUGUAAAUCUACAUGGAUCUCUCCUUUCCAAUUGCAAAAGUCAGUGAGCAUCAGUUUAAUUCCUGAGGGCUGUGUCUUGAACUUUCUCUUUGAUAGGGAAUUCUCAUGUCACCCCUCCAUGAACUCUGGCUCUUUUACUCUGUCUUAUAGAUGUGACAAUAUGUUUUGUCAUUGUUUAUGAUGUGAUUUAGGAAACUGUCACCUCGAGCCUCGUAUGGGUUCGGUUGUUCCUGACAAACUUGCUUACACUCUUCUUUCUGUUCCAGCGUGAGCCUUCAGCGUUUCCAUCUGAUGCAUACUUUGCUCUAUUCCAAUGCUGACAUUGUUGUUUUCAAUGCAUGAAAUCCAAUACUCAGCUCUGUACACAGGUUCCUGUUUGUAAUCCACUGAUUCAUACAGUCAAGCUGAUCCAGACACUUCAUGUGGCUUGGCUUUCCUGUUGGUGUUGCCACUACUGUUAAAACAAAAAACCCACUGCCUCACUGAGUUCACAUUCAAUUUUUCGUCUCCAUAAAUGUUCAGCAGGUGUCA